Molecule: non-coding RNA, 233 nt
Organism: Xyrichtys novacula (pearly razorfish)
Lineage: Eukaryota; Metazoa; Chordata; Actinopteri; Labriformes; Labridae
Source: the annotation of a GenBank genome assembly
AAACAGGUGAGUUUAAUCCUUAAUCUGGUUUAAACAGGUGAGUUUAAUCCUUAAUCUGGUUUAAACAGGUGAGUUUAAUCCUUAAUCUGGUUUAAACAGGUGAGUUUAAUCCUUAAUCUGGUUUAAACAGGUGAGUUUAAUCCUUAAUCUGAUGUUAACAGGUGAGUUUAAUCCUUAAUCUGGUUCAAACAGGUGAGUUUAAUCCUUAAUCUGGUUUAAACAGGUGAGUUUAA